This is an RNA transcript of Daktulosphaira vitifoliae (grape phylloxera), 793 nucleotides long. It is a transcript of the gene named protein FAM136A-like, with no coding region annotated. The transcript has 6 exons. The record is from RefSeq and is a predicted model, not a curated record. NCBI's taxonomy places the organism in Eukaryota, Metazoa, Arthropoda, Insecta, Hemiptera, Phylloxeridae.
AUUAUUAUUUUAUUAUCAGUUUUGUUUGUUCAAAUCAACUAAACGAGUUCGUAUUUUCGAACGUUACAUUACUGGUGUGGUAUUGUUUUAAUAAUUAAUUUCUUUUUUUUAAUUUGAAAAACAUUAGAUUUUUGAAAAAUGGAAGAAGAUCAACGACGUAUGGAUAGUGCUAUGUAUAAUGUUUUAAAUGAUAUUGAUAAAAAAUGUCUAAGAAAAUUACAAAUUCAAAUGCAUCAAUGUUCAAUUGAUUGUUGUAAAGAUAAUUCCAAGAAUAUUGAAUCAUUAGGCAAAUGUGUGGAUAGUUGUUCAAAAGAAGUGGCUCAAUCUCGCAACUAUAUUCAAAAUGAAUUUAGUAAAUGGCAGCAAAGAAUACAACGUUGCAUACAAGACUGUCAAGAUUCAGUUACUGACAAGAUACAAGGAAAUCCCAGUGAAGCACAGAUAAGUAAAUAUACCAAAGAAGCUGAAGCUUGUGCCUCUCGUUGUAUUUCAAAACAUAUUGAUUUGUUACCACAAUUGUCAGAAAAAAUUGUGACAAAUAUUAAUAGUCAUUAAAAAGUUAAUUAUUAUAUUCAUUAAAUAAUUCAAUUGAUAUAUCUGUUAGUGAUUAAAACUAGAAAUUUGUUAAAAAUUAUUGUUAAUAAAAAUCUACUAGAAAAAAAUAAUUUUUUUAUUUAUUAUUUUAAAAAACUAUUAAAAACUAAUAUUUGAAGCUAAAACAAAUUUUUUAAAAAAUGUUAGUAGUUGUUAAAAACUAAUUUUUUGAUUUUAGUAAAAAUGUUCAAAAAUUGUA